UACGUAGGGGGCUAGCGUUGCUCGGAAUCACUGGGCGUAAAGCGCACGUAGGCGGGUCUUUAAGUCAGGGGUGAAAUCCUGGAGCUCAACUCCAGAACUGCCUUUGAUACUGAGGAUCUUGAGUUCGGGAGAGGUGAGUGGAACUGCGAGUGUAGAGGUGAAAUUCGUAGAUAUUGGGAAGAACACCGAUGGCGAAGGCAGCCAUCUGGACCGACACUGACGCUGAGGCGCGAAAGCGUGGGGAGCAAACAGG
RNAcentral lists this ribosomal RNA (253 nucleotides) under uncultured bacterium. RNAcentral's name for it is "partial 16S ribosomal RNA". It matches the Rfam family "Bacterial small subunit ribosomal RNA", at positions 524 to 776 of the family's 1533-position model. The record is from RNAcentral.